UGAAAUGCUUCGGCUGAAAGGCUGAGAUCCGUUCGUGAUGCUCAUCCCGGCUGGACACGAGAUAUCCGGAUGCGAGAGAGGUUGGUUUCGUUCAUGGGAUACGGGAGGAAAGGAAGACGGUUGGGAUUGAUUCGGAAGAGAUUAUCCCCGAAACAGGGGAAUGGAAGAAACUUGGUUUGAUUCAGAAGAGAUGAAGCUGGGAGAUGAGUGGAUCACGGGAGGAUGAACUUGAUUCGGUUGAGAACAAGAUCUUUGGAUGCUCACGGAAUGGGAAGAGAUCUUUGGGUGAUGCAGAUGAAAUCUGGGAGGAGGUGUCGUGGAAGAUGAACACGGAAUGGACUCGGUUCUGGUUGAAUAUCGUAGAACAGGGGAGUUGGGAUUUACGGAAUGCUGGGAACGAACUCUGUUUUGAGGCAAGGUUUUAGAUGAAUGUCUUCAAUGCAUGGGAGCUGGGAAGGGAUGGUUCCGGAGGGA
RNAcentral lists this long non-coding RNA (474 nucleotides) under Phoenix dactylifera (date palm). RNAcentral describes it as "long non-coding RNA (PDAC_LNC018893)". The record is from RNAcentral. Lineage: Eukaryota; Viridiplantae; Streptophyta; Magnoliopsida; Arecales; Arecaceae.